Peromyscus maniculatus bairdii (prairie deer mouse) is the source of this 1100-nucleotide non-coding RNA. Lineage: Eukaryota; Metazoa; Chordata; Mammalia; Rodentia; Cricetidae. The record is from RefSeq and is a predicted model, not a curated record.
GGUUCCAGGUCCAAAAUGGCAACCCUCAAGGACCAGCUGGUUGUGAUUCUUCUUAAGGAAGAGCAGGCCCUCCAGAACAAGAUUCCAGCUGUUGGGGUGGGCACUGUUGGCAUGGCUUGUGCCAUCAGUAUCUCAAUGAAGGACUUGGCAGGUGAGUUUGCCCUUGUUGAUGUCAAGCAAGACAAACUGAAGGGAGAGAUGAAGGAUCUGCAGCACGGCAGCCUUUUCCUUAGAACGACAAAAAUGGUCUCUGGCAAAGGCUGUAGUGUGACUGCGAGUUCCAGGCUAGCCAUUGCCACAGCAGGAGCCUGCCAGCAAGAGGGAGGGAGCCGGCUCAAUGUGGUCCAGGGAACGGUGAACAUCGUCAGCUUCAUUGUUCCCAACAUGGUGAAGAACAGCCCAAACUGCGAGCUGCUUGUUGCUUCAAACACAGGGGCUGUCUUAGCCUCUGCGGCUUGGGAGAGAAGCGGCUUUCCUGAAAACUGAGUUCUCGGAAGUGGUUGCGAUCUGGAUUCAGCUCCAUUCCAUUACCUGGUGGGAGAAAGGAGUUCACCCACUGAGCGAUCACGGACGGGUCCUCUGGCAGCGUGGGAGCUCCAGGGUGCCUGUGUGGUGUGGUAUAAAUGUUGCUGGCGUCUCCCUGAAGAAUCUCGGCCUAGAAUUAAGUAAGCACUGACGCAGACAAAGAGCAGUGGAAAAGGCUCACAAACAGGUGGCUGACAACGCCUAGGAGGUGCUCAAGUGGAGGAUCCUAUGUCCUGGGCCGUCGGCCUCUCGGUGGCAGACUUGGCCAAGAGCAAGGUGAAGAAUCUUAGGAGAGCGUCUCCCAUUUCCACCAUGAUUAAGGUUCUCUAUGGAAUAAAGGAGGACACCUUCCUCGGUGUCCCCUGUAUUCUGGGACAAAAUGGGAUUGUGGAUGUUGUGAAGGUGACUCUGACUCCUGCGGAGGAGGCCUGCUUGAAGAAGAGAGCUGUAGUUCUAAGUCGAUGCUAGCAUUGGACUCACAAUGUAGCCCAGGCUAGUCUCAGACUUGCAGCGGUCAUCCUGCUCCAGCCUCCCAAGUGUUGGGAUUACCAGUGUUUGCCCUCAGGCCUGACUUU